Molecule: long non-coding RNA, 584 nt
Filed under: Pongo abelii (Sumatran orangutan)
Lineage: Eukaryota; Metazoa; Chordata; Mammalia; Primates; Hominidae
Description: lincRNA
Source: RNAcentral
CUUCACCUCCCAUUGUCUCUGUCUCUCUCUUUCUCCUCUGCUUCCCCUCCCCCCACAACCAAAGUCAAGAGUGCAGACCCCAUGAUCACCUGAUACCUACAAGCAAGCAGGUGUUCUUUUCAGAAGCCAGAAGCUGAUAACCUGGGCUUUCUGAUCUAACCCCAGCCCAAAUUCUUUGCAAUGGAGGAAUGGGGAGGAGAUUCUUCCUACUGAGAAGUGGGUGCCAACUCUCCCUUUCAAAUUUGUUCAUCAACAAACUAAAGGGGAUGCCAGAAAUGUCUGGAGCAAUGGAAGAACCACUGGAAUAAUGCUCCUGCCUGAUUGCAUCUACUUAACCCACUCUCCAAGAGCUAGAAUCAGAUUUCAACCGUAUGGAAUCAUCUACAAUGCAGCAGAUGGGUUUACAAGUCUCUUGGUCUCUUCGUGUAAUUAACAGCCAAGAAGUCUAAAGCUUGCAUUGUUUACGUGGAAGAUGUUUCUUGCCCAUUCCCACGCCAUGCCAUCUGAAAUCGCUCCUUUUUUUAUUUUUUCUGUGCAGUUUUUUUAACUUUGUGGGAUCCUCUGCAUAUAAAACUCCAUUCAAC